This is an RNA transcript of Fragaria vesca subsp. vesca, 2627 nucleotides long. It is a transcript of the gene named putative receptor protein kinase ZmPK1-like, with no coding region annotated. The transcript has a single exon. Lineage: Eukaryota; Viridiplantae; Streptophyta; Magnoliopsida; Rosales; Rosaceae. The record is from RefSeq and is a predicted model, not a curated record.
UCCAUGUUCUACUUGAAUGAUCAGUUGAAUCCCAAAAACCAUGUCUACCUUCUUCCUCUUCCUCCUCCUCCUCCUCCUCUUCAUCUCAACCCCGCCGCCCUCCUCCGCCCAACAAACCCUCUCCUCCUUCUCCAUCUCCAACUCCCCAUGGACCCCACGAGACGAUCUCACCCUCCUUUCCCCCAACUCCGCCUUCGCCGCCGGCUUCCUCCCCCUCCCCUCCUCCCCAAACCUCUUCAACUUCUCCAUCUGGUUCCACAACAUCUCCGCCGCAAACUCCGUCGUCUGGUCCACCACCUACCCACUAGCCCCCUCCGCCGCUCUCUCCAUCACCUCCACCGGCCUCCUCCUCCUCUCCAACUCCUCCUCCUCCUCUAACCAAAACCUCUGGCCAACACCCCCUCCGGUGAAACCAACACCACGCAGCUCAAGCUCCGCAACGACGGAAACCUAAUCUACGGCGGUUGGGAGAGCUUCACCUUCCCCACCGACACCGCGCUACCCAACCAGACUUUAACUGGAAACAACUUCACUUUAGUCUCCAAAAACCGCAAGUUCCGGUUCAUCAACUCCACCCAGCUCGUCUUCAACGUCACCGAACCCUACCAGGACCUCACCAACGCCUUCCAGAGCUUCGAAAGCGCCGGGAAAAUGACGCAGGCCAACGGCGCGUCCUUCAUCGUCUCCGACUUCGGUCUCAAAAGAUCAAGAAGACUCACUCUUGACAACGACGGCAACCUCCGCAUCUACAGCUUCGAUCCGAGCUUGCAUAGCUGGACAGUCGUCUGGCAAUCCGGCUACGAGCUCUGUCAGGUGCACGGCACGUGCGGACCCAACGCCAUUUGCGUCAGCGACGGCGCGACUUCAGACUACUACUGCGUCUGCCCGCCGGGGUUUACUCCGGUACCGAACGGAAAAAUCGAAGACCAAGGAUGUCUUAGGAAGAUCCCUCUUUCGAAAAAGUCCACCAACUUUCUUCAGCUCGAUUACGUCAACUUUACCGGCGGGUCAAACCAGACGAAUUGGCCCGCAACUAACUUCAGUCAAUGCCAGUCAAGAUGUUUAAGCAGAGACAACUGCGAGGGGUUCAUGUUCAAAUACGACGGCCAAGGCUUCUGUGUGCUGCAGCUGGACCGGUUGCUAUACGGCUACUGGUCGCCGGGGUCGGAAAGAGCUAUGUUUCUACGUGUUGACAAUUCCGAAACCGAUAAGUCAAACUUCACCGGCAUGACGGAGCUGCUGGAGACGACGUGUCCGGUGCAGAUCAGCCUUCCCUUGCCGCCGGAAGAGUCGAAUGCGACCACCAGGAACAUAGUGAUCAUUUGUACUCUUUUCGCUGCUGAGCUGAUUUCCGGGGUGUUGUUCUUCUGGGCCUUUAUCAAGAAGUACAUAAAGUAUAGAGAUAUGGCUCGGACGCUCGGGCUUGAGUUUCUUCCGGCCGGCGGGCCGAAGAGGUUUUCGUACGCCGAGCUGAAAGCGGCGACUAAAGACUUCUCGAAUUUGAUCGGGAGAGGCGGGUUUGGGGAUGUUUACAGAGGAGAGCUGACGGAUCAGAGGGUGGUGGCGGUCAAGUGUUUGAAACAAGUGACAGGCGGCGACGCCGAGUUUUGGGCGGAGGUGACGAUCAUUGCACGGAUGCACCACCUCAAUUUGGUCAGGUUAUGGGGCUUUUGCGCCGAGAAAGGUCAGAGAAUACUAGUAUACGAGUAUGUUCCAAAUGGGUCACUAGACAAGUACCUUUUCAAACCGGCUCGGGUUUCGUCUACGGAUCAGGACUCGGAAAAUGGAGCCCCGGCGGAUGAGAAGCCGAUUCUUGAUUGGGGAAUAAGGUACCGCAUUGCGUUGGGGGUAGCGAGGUCAAUUGCUUACUUGCACGAGGAGUGUCUCGAAUGGGUGUUGCAUUGUGAUAUUAAGCCGGAAAAUAUACUACUGGGCGAUGAUUUUUGCCCGAAAAUAUCGGAUUUUGGGUUGGCGAAGCUGAAGAAGAAGGAGGACAUGGUGAGCAUAUCGCGGAUGCAAGGGACACGAGGGUACAUGGCGCCUGAGUGGGUCAAGAUGGACCCGAUCACGCCCAAGGCUGACGUGUACAGCUUCGGAAUGGUGUUGUUGGAGCUUGUGAGUGGGGUAAGGAAUAACGAGAUUCAAGGGUCAAUGAUAGAGAGCGAGGAUUGGUAUUUUCCGAGAUGGGCGUUUGAUAAGGUGUUUAAGGAGAUGAAUGUGGAAGAUAUUCUGGACCGUCAGAUCAAGCAUUGUUAUGAUAGUAAGGCGCAUUUUGAUACGGUGAACCGGAUGGUGAAGACGGCGAUGUGGUGCCUUCAAGACCGGCCGGAGAUGAGGCCGUCGAUGGGGAAGGUGGCGAAGAUGUUAGAAGGGACGGUAGACAUCACAGAACCUAACAAGCCUACUAUAUUUUUCCUUACUGACGACUAGAGAAUGUGUUACUAUAAUAAUAUGAUACGUAGUUAGUGGCGGCCCGUCGUAUUUUUUUGUUUUUAGUUUACACGCGGCUCUUGUUUUAUUUUUACAUUUAGAGAAAUUAGGUAGUAUUAUAUUGUAAUUUUGGCAUUGGACAGAUGCUCACCCAAUCCAAAAUAUGUUGGGCUGCCAAACAAGGAAUAAAACUAUUC